This 467-nucleotide ribosomal RNA is filed under the name uncultured bacterium. RNAcentral's name for it is "SSU rRNA". It matches the Rfam family "Bacterial small subunit ribosomal RNA", at positions 26 to 518 of the family's 1533-position model. The record is from RNAcentral.
AGGACGAACGCUGGCGGCGUGCCUAAAACAUGCAAGUCGAACGGGGUCUUCGGACCCAGUGGCGAACGGCGGAGUAAUACGUGAGCAACGUGCCCGAAAGACUGGGAUAGUCAUUGGAAACGAUGGGUAAUACCAGAUGUUGACUUUGUCUGGCAUCAGAUAAAGUUGAAAAGGUUUUUCGCUUUCGGAGCGGCUCACGGCCUAUCAGGUAGUUGGUGGGGUGAAGGCCUACCAAGCCGACGACGGGUAGCGGGUCUGAGAGGAUGACCCGCUCGAGUGGGACUGAGACACGGCCCACACACCUACGGGUGGCAGCAGUUGGGAAUCUUGCACAAUGGGGGAAACCCUGAUGCAGCGACGCCGCGUGGAGGAUGGACGGGUCUAGGCCUGUAAACUCCUUUUUUCGGGAAAGUACUUAGGACGGUACCCGAAGAAUAAGCACCGGCUAACUACGUGCCAGCAGCCGC